This 339-nucleotide unclassified non-coding RNA is filed under the name soil metagenome. RNAcentral describes it as "partial contains 5.8S ribosomal RNA, internal transcribed spacer 2, and large subunit ribosomal RNA". The stretch from base 1 to 120 matches the Rfam family "5.8S ribosomal RNA", at positions 35 to 154 of the family's 154-position model. The record is from RNAcentral.
GAUGAAGAACGUAGCGAAAUGCGAUACGUAGUGUGAAUUCCAGAAUUCAGUGAAUCAUCGAAUCUUUGAACGCACAUUGCACCUCUCGGUAUUCCGGGAGGUAUGCCUGUUCGAGCGUCAUUUGUACCCUCAAGCUCUGCUUGGUGUUGGGUGUUUGUUCCGCCUCUGUGUGUGAACUCGCCUCAAAACAAUUGGCAGCCGGCGUACUUGUUUCGGAGCGCAGCACAUUUUGCGAUCCAGAUCAACGUACAGCGGCAUCCAAGAAGCCUUAUUUAACGCUCUUGACCUCGGAUCAGGUAGGGAUACCCGCUGAACUUAAGCAUAUCAAUAAGCGGAGGA